This 10359-nucleotide long non-coding RNA is filed under the name Spirodela polyrhiza (greater duckweed). Its description in RNAcentral is "long non-coding RNA (SPOL_LNC000573)". The record is from RNAcentral. Lineage: Eukaryota; Viridiplantae; Streptophyta; Magnoliopsida; Alismatales; Araceae.
UGAAGGCUCCUCUUCCUCCGGUCUCAGUCCUCAGCCGCCGUCCUCAGAAAAUGGGGACCUCUCCCGGACGUUGACUGCUUGGCUUAGAUCAUCAUUUUCGACGGUGUGUAGUUUGAUUCCGCGACUUAUUUGUAUGACCCGCAAGAACAUAUUGAGGAUCCAUGCUCAAUUUUGACCAGUUUUCAAUGGUUCAAGUUCCUUCUUUUUCCUUUUUCUGUGGUGAAUUCCGAGGUAGAGAGAGAGAGAGAGAGAUGAAGGACAAGGAAUCUUCCUUCUGACUAAUCACCUCUUAUUUACUUGAAGAACUCGACAGACAGACAGACAGACUUCUACCUUAUUAUACAUCGGAAUUUUUUAUGGCAAAAGUCAAAGUGAAAAUCCUAAGCUUUCGACAAUCUGACGAAGGCGGCCAUGGAGUUCUUCUUCAAACUCAAAACCCUGGCGAAAUGAACCCUAAAGACGACCUCGUCUCCCACCAAAAACCUUCUCCUGGUGCAAAAGUCAAAACUGCUGGGGUGCUGCCGACCCUGUGACAAAGUCAACGCCAGCGGCGGCGCUUUCAGCCUCUCCCUGGCCUGGCGAACCUCCGAGCGAUCCCAUAGACCAGCGCCUUCGUCAAGAGGCCUCGGUCCAACGUGCAUGCUAGGGCGAUGGCCCCACCGAUCACCAGAAACCUUGGAAUGGCCUUCCCCAGCGGCUGGGUCUUCUCCGGCAGUUGACUUUCCACCAGCUCGCCAUUGCCACCGUCCAGCGAAUUCAACUCGUCGGCGCUGACUUUGGUGCUGAUUUGCGCUAAAAGGGCCGACGGCGAGAGGGGCUCACCGGCGGCUCUCGCUGCCUGGUAGGCCCGCAAGCCCGGUUCGAUCUUCUUGACGCAGCCCCACAUCCCCUGCCUCACGCCCAGCUUGGCGAUCUCCCACGGAAUCCCCAUGUCCUCGUAGUGGAAGAGCAGGACCUCGCACGCCGUCCGUUGACCGUCCCCUCUCAUCGACUCCACUGGAAGAGGAGGAGAAAACCGAGCUCAGGUUAAUCAAGAACACCCAUGAAAUCAAAUGCUUUGCCCCUGAGGAGCGAGAAGUCAACGAUUGGAUUCAGAGAUUGAGCGCACCUGCACGGAUGCACCAGCUGGAGUAGUACAGGUCAACCCGUCUUGGUUUAGUCUGCCUGGGGAUUGACUCGUUUUUUACACUCUGAGGCAAGAUGAUUCAAACAGAUGAGUUGAACGCCCAUGAGAAGGGGUGGAUGGUGAGAGAGAGCAUAACAUUAAGAACUCAUAAAAGGGGAAAAAAAAUUGAAUGAAUCUUCUUUUACUCACCCUAUAUGUGUAUACAUACUGAUUAAAAAUGCAUGUAUAUAUAUAUAUAAAUAUAAAUAUAUAUACAUAUAUAUACAGAGAGAGAGAGAGGGAGGGGGGAGGCAAGAGUUAGCAUAAGCUUAAGAACACAACGAGGAAAAAAGAAUGAAUACUGGAUCGAUCUAUAAUUGAAAAUAUGUAGAAUUAGCAGAGAUAAAAUUAAUUCAGGCCCCCUGAACCAUGGCAUUCAGUUCAUACUCCAUGAGGCAGAAACGCCCAACAAAUAAUUUGUAUUCUUAAACUACCUUCCAGUAGAAGGUCAUUAAAAAAACUUGCAAAAGAAAAAACCAGCUGAAAUUCCACUUAAAUCGGAUCGUCAGGUAGAUGAUCGGUAAAAUUGAUCCUCUCUAAGGAUGAAUUCAGCACUCUGAAGCUGGAUACCUUGGUCACGCAGUAGUAUGCUCCAUCUGACUUCCAGAUCCUACGGCCAAUAAUAUACUCCCGGUCACUGCAGAAGAAGGGAAACUGGAGAAGGGAUGAAGGGGGUAAGCAUAGACACACAGAAGCACGCGGAUAAGAUUGAGAGAGAGGAGAGAGAGAGAGAGAGAGAGAGAGAGACCCACCUUUCUAACCCAAUGAACGAUCAUCAUCCCGGUUUUCGGGCAUUCCUCCAAGGUCUUGUGGUAGAUGAGCAUGUCGUCCCACCUGGCUUUCAUCCGGAAUUCAUCGUCCCAGAAGAAAUCCCUGACUGUCUCUGGGGCUGCAUCCUCAAAGAUUGUUCUACUGCGAUACUGUGGAGGACCAGUCUGGCAGAAGGAAAACCUGAUUAGGAAACCGAAACGGCCCGGAAUUGCCCUCUAAAUUUAAAAGAUUAGGAUGUAUUUUCCGGUUCCCAGAUGAAAAUUGUUAGAACAGGCGGUCAAUCAGGAACAGCUGAUACCUCGGGGUCUCUUCGCCAUGCUCUGUAGCUCAUGGUAGGUAAUGACUUGUCCAUCAUCUGCGUCCAUUCGCGGCCCCCGUCUGUCGUCUCUACGAGCUGGGAGAGGUAACCAAGGUCCUCUGUUGUCACAGAAAAUCCAUCGCCUCCAUCCUCAGACGACCUGGGUUCAACAACAAUUCAGAAACAAGCCGAAAACCAUAAAGGAUUAUGGAAACAAUUGGGGAAUCAUCGUACAUUGAGGUCGCCUUCCCGGUGGUCUCAUCCGCCUGGGCCUUGUGCGACUCCAAUCCAGAGGACAAUUCUGAGGAAGAAGAAGACCGCAAUUGGGGAUAACCAUGGCGAGAAUUCCCCUUGUCUCCGCACACCAAGUCGGCGGCCCACCUCGGCCGCCACGCCCAGCCGACCAAGAGACCAACAAAGAGGGCCAACCAGACAGGAACGGAGAAAAGUACGAGCUCAGCCACCACGCCGCCGAUCGUUGGCUGCCGCAAGGUCUCAACAAGAGCUCCGAAGACCAAACCCAUCUCCACCCAACAACUUACAUAGAAAAAAGAACAACGAGCGGUACAAAAACAACAAUGGAUGGCAAAACCCUCGAAGAAUCGAGGGUUCCGCGGGAGGAACUGCCUUCAGUCGAAAACGUGGCAAAGAGGCUGGGAAUCCGAAACAGGUGAGACUGGGCAGGAAGAAUAUAAGCAAGACGGAGGAGGAAAUAAGAGAUAUGGACUCCGCCGGCGCCGACGAUAAGGAUUCUGGAGAUGGAACCGAGGUGGGUAAUGGCGAAGAUUAAGCCCUAGGCUAAUCAGAGCACGGGGGAAGACAAGGUUCCCUUACUGCUCCCCGAAGAUACUUAUCUGGUCUCAACUCGUGGAGGGCGCUUCACAGAGGCUGUUCCCCAGAAGCCAAUGGAGACGGAGACGACUGGUUAAUAUCGUCCGGUGCGAGGCCGUAGGCCCCCCCACCCCCGGGUAGGUGUGGCUCCUCUACACAGUCCUGCCAUCACCGCGGUGACGCGAUCCCGGUUUUCUAACUCAUUUCUAACUCCCAUGUUUCCUACUAGGCGGUUACGGCACCGCGGAUUUCGCGGUGGGUGUGGUGGCCGCGUCCUCCUCUUUUAUCUCACGUUUUCCGAGUGGCCGGCAGGGGGCAAGAUGGUCUUUCCACUCGUGAGCUUUUUUCCUUUUUUUCGCAGAAAAUAUUCAUGACAUUGAGAAUAACCCCUCAAAUUAAUAGUAUUUUCUUUUAUGCACGAUAGACUUUUGCCGAAUUGCCAUCCUCGGCCGGUCGGUGUUUGGUCAACGCGUGCAGCGCGCAGGGAGAACACGUGACGUACGGACCUCGUUCAUGGCCGGUCGUACUUUCUGUCUUUCUGCGUUCCCACUGCCCCUUCUACGUUGGUGCAACCGGGCCGGGCCCGAAGUCCAUCGGGCCUAAUUGUAUCAAAGCCCGACAGAGAGUUCUGAGCAUAUUUUAUUUUACACUCAAUUAUGGUAUUUAGCAAGGCAAGAAACGGAAGCGUGGUUUUUAAAAACUAAAAAUAACAUUUUAAAUGAUUUAUAUUAUGCAAAUAUAUGCCGCAAACCAUGGUUAAAAAAGGAAUGAUACUUCUGUUUUUUUAAUGCUGCAUGUUAGAAGUUUUGUGUAGAAAAACUUGCUUACUGUAAUAAAUUAUAGAAAAUUUAUAUAUUUAUUUAUGUUUAAUAUGUAGGAUUUGUUUUCAGAUUUGCUGUUAAAAAAAGCAUUUGAUCGUGCGGACGGUGGAGAAGGGAGGGUAUAAUGGUAAUUAAUGAGAAUAAGGUGGGUGCUUUGGAUGACUAGUUCGUGCGUACUCCCUUCCCGCGCUUCCUCGAGCGUAUAAAUACUGGCUUCUUCGUUCUUUGAUGAGCAUCAUAUUCGCAGCAGGAGAAGAAUUUUUCCGUAGAAAAUCCUUACUUGUUUUCCGGGGGAUGCUGGUACGGUCUCCUCCGGUCUCAGGCUUUUGUGUUCUGUGCUCUGCGUCGAUAUUCUUCAAUAUCUUUAUUGUUCCUAAAAUCUGAUUGAUCUCCGUGCAAUUGGCUCGCUGAUUGUAAAAUUCCCGCCUGAGUGGAACAGAGUGGGUCAGUCUAGGUUUUUUUUUGGAAAACACGCUUUCCAUUGUGUUCCUUGUCCGGACAGAAGACCUCUGACGUAGAUAUAGGGAUGUGGAUCGGAGAACAAUCUCGUACUAUCGAACUGGAAAAUAUCCAGUUCGUUUCUAUAAUUAUGUGGUUUAUAUCGGCGACAUGUUUCUUAAUAAAUAUAUCUGUAUUUAUUUUUCUAUAAAUGAACACGCAGCAUCUGGAUCUGGAAUGGAACUUAGUUUACAAGUUUGUAAUUCGCUGAACGUUUAUAUCAGGAGAGGUGCGAAUGAUGUCAAAUAUAACAGUAUGUGUGCGAUUCAGACCUCUAAGUCCAAAAGAAAAGGAAGCCGACGGCGGAGCAAUCUGUGUUCAGGGACUGGAUUCUGAGACUUUCUUUUUGAAGGUUCCUCUUCCUCCCUAUAUCUGUAAUUUCAUGAUUGAAAUUUUUUCAUGCCAACCGGAUCUGUCUGCUAGGCUGAGAAAGAAGAAGAGCUCGCGUUUUGCUUCGACAAGGUGUUUUAUCAGGACUCAGAACAAGAAGAUGUGUUCCAAUAUCUCGCCAUGCCUAUCGUUCAAGGUGGAGACAUUCUACGGUUAUCACAUGUUCCAUCUACGACCAAAUACACGUCGUACCUCCUUUUUCUUAGUGUCGGCAAUGCCCUUGCAUCAUCAUGGCAUCAACUUUCAGAUGCAAUCAUCAUUAUUUCCGUUGUGAUAAUGAGCUAAUUUUGGCGAUUUUAUCCAUGUCAUUCUUCGGAACAUUUUUUAACAGACACCAUGAAUGGAAUAAAUGGCACGAUCGUUACUUAUGGCCAGGUGAGUCACGUUAACUUUUCCUUUUUGUUAAGUGUUAUGUUUUGUUAAUCCGUGUACGUGUUAUCUAUUCAAAUAAUCAUGCUUCUGCACCACAUAAAAACGGACACUCUCUCAUGGAUUUCAUAUGAUUCCGUGAUUUCGAAUUUUGCACUUUCUCGCGUGUUUACAUCGUUUAUAUUUUACCUGAAAUUAAUUCGAAAAUUUUUAGGCAUCUCAAAAGGACAAAUGCAUCAGAAUUCAAAAUGCCUUCAAUUCAGACUUUUGUUUACUAAGCUGUGGUUAUUAUUGGAAGAAUCCUUGUGUUAUUAUUGAUUGUUUUAUUGUAACGAUAUAAUCAUAUUAGCAGUGUAUGUUACAUAGAUAUAAUCACAGUAGUAUUUUAUUUUUAAAAUGAUGAAUGGUUAUGGACAUAAUUUCUGAUAGCAUUGUACGUUAAUAGGAAAACAUUAAGAUAUUGAUCAUUUUUUUUGUACAAUAAAUAUGAAUGUCGAAUGCUGUAGAGCAGCAGAGUGGUGAGUAGGAUCUGUGUAUUAAAAUGAAAAUAAAGGCUUAAGAUUAGCCCUGGUUCCUCAUGGCUUUGCUAGUGGAUUAAUACUGUUUACGAUUGAGUAGGAACAAUAAUUUGUGAAUUGGGCUUCCGAAGCAUGUAUUCAUCUGGAUGGUGGAAACUAUACCUUUUAUAGGAUUAACUCUGUUUCAUUAUUUACUUCGUCCCUGAAGACAUCCAUAUACAGAAUCAGCAAAACACUCUGAUUAAGAUUUUUCAAUGACAUAUUUUACCCUGGAAAUACGCGCUGCAAACAGACUGGAGCAGGGAAAACUUACAGCAUGGAGGUGAAAUUAUUUGGUUAUUUCUGCUUCUUGCACCCAGACGACCCAUUGUUAAAAAUUAUUAUAUCCUGAAAAAUUUUAAUGUGCUUCUAUAUAAUCAUAUUAGGGCCCCAGUAUUUCAGACUAUGAUGGACAAAAAAAAGGACUUCUUCCUCGCGUGGUUGACAAUCUCUUUGAGCAUAUAAAAUUUUCUGAGGAGACUACUAAAUGUACUGUCAAGAUAUCAAUGGUACGCCCUUUGAUUUCUACGUCCAAAAAGUUACUAGUUGGCCCCACUAACUUCAGUUUCUCUUCAGGUGGAAAUCUAUAUGGAGAAAGUGAGGUACGUUUCUCCAGGAAAGGCCUUUUGUUUAUUUCAAGAAAGUCAGAUGAUCACCGUACAAACAGAGGUUCUUACUGUUAACAGACACAUCAAGAUGUAAAAAUCUAAAUGCUCUCACUCUUUAUGUCAGAGAUCUUUUUGAUUUAUCAAAAGACAAUCUGCAAAUCAAGGAAAGUAGAACACAGGGUAUUUUCCUUUCUGGCGUAACAGAGGUGAGCAAACUCUCAGUCAGCGCACUGUUUUCAACGCUUGCCUGGUUCAGUGCAAAAUAAUAUGUGCCCCGUGCUGUCAGACACUCAUUACCUGCAGCUUUGGUAUUUUUCAGGCUACUGUAUUGGAUCCUGAAGAAGCAUUGGGAUGCCUUUCGGUAUAAAUAUUUCAUCAUCCAACUGUUAUCUUUUAAGCUGUAACGACUGUCUGAUAUCUAUUAUGCUUUGCAGCGUGGAAUUGCCAAUAGAGCAGUUGGGGAGACGCGUAUCCAUCACUUGGCCAUGUUUCCUGACAUUAUUAAAUUCAAGAAUUAUGAUUUGUGCACUUGUAUUCACCUUCAUGUAUUGGUUUCGGACCUUGACAUUAACAGAAAUGAACAUGGUGAGCAGCAGGAGUCAUUGUAUAUACACCUUUCUGGUUCAUCAGGAAUCUUUGAAGGAUGAUUGGUAUUCUGAUAUUUUCUUCAUGUUUCUUUCAACAUGAUAUCACAUAGAAACAUAUAGGCACGGCAUUACGGAGACACCUCAAUCCUAAUCUCUCUCUCUCUAUAUGUGUGCGUAUGUGGGUGUGUGUGGGAUCUUGCAGCCGACUAUUAUUUACGAAUUUAGAUUUCUCUUAUUCCUUGUCUAUGUAGAAGAAAUAAUUACUCGCAGUCAAAUUGGGGCUUUUGGUAACUUGAACAGGUCAAAAACUGGAAAGCUUGUUCUAGUUGACUUGGCUGGUUCCGAGAAGGUCGAGAAAUCUGGUGCUGAAGGGAGGAACCUCGACGAAGCGAAGACCAUCAACAAGUCCCUCUCCGCCCUCGGAAACGUAAUCAAUGCUCUCACAACGGGUGAACAUAAACUCCUUGCUCAGUUCAACUUAUUUCUCUAGUGAACACACUACACGGAAUCGAAUGAUUUUUAAACCAAUCAACAGGCAAAGUAAACCAUAUACCCUAUCGUGAUUCAAAGCUCACCCGUAUUCUGCAAGAUGCAUUGGUCGGUCCUAACCCUCAACACCCCCUCCUUCCUUCCCCAUCGACAUAUUUCUACUAAUAUUUCUGUCCUUUCAGGGUGGGAAUUCGCGCACGGCACUACUGUGCUGCUGCUCCCCCAGCUCCUCGAAUGCAUCAGAGAGCUUGUCUACCCUUCGCUUUGGAACAAGGUAUACGUCCUGCGAUUUAACGGAGCUACUCCGAUGAUGAGGACAGGGUCUGUUUAUAUCUUUCCAGGACUAAGCUGAUAAAGACCCCGUUGAGGGCUCCUGCUGAGGCAACACAGACGACCCCCUUUCAGCCCCGCAGAAGCUCAUACGACGGAAUAUUAGAGAAGGUGGGGAAACCAUAGUUGGUCGCAAUGGUUCGCUUGCCCCGAGCCUUUUUGGGUUUUCCUGUUCAGCGGAUCACCUUUCCUCGCAGUUGAGGAAGUCCCUCACCCCAGAAGACGUGAUGCUGUUGGAGGAGCUAUUUAUAGGGGAGGGGAUCCUGUUCGACCCUCAGUCAACCGAGGACUUGGAGUCAGCCUUUGAGGAUCUGAUCAGCCUAUCCGUUUCCUCGAUGCAGGAAACCAUCGAGGAGCUCAAUGACGCGCUUGAAAAGGUGACGUGUCCUUCUACUGCACAUAACGAGAGUCUAAGGCACUUCGUAGAGUUUUCACUUACUGCUGUCCAUGGUCACAGCUCUCUUUGAAGUAUGACGCUCUCGCGGCCGAGCUGGAAGCUGCAAAGCAGUCACCAAGGGUACACGUGUCCGCAGGGGAGUAUCCUAAUUUCAUAGGUAAGAUCUUCGGUGUUUUCAAUAAAUUCUAGCUAGACAAAGACCAGUGUAUACGCUUUCUCCUCGAGCACUCAACCAUUGGCCGGGUUUCGACGAUAAGAGACCAUAAAUAUUGUUCUUGAAGACAUCUUAAAAUUCUAGGUAUGAAAACUUUUUGCAGACAAAAAUGGUGUUUAAGUUGACCCACGUAACUUUUUCUCCCACUCAUUGUCUGGAUUGUCCUGAGAUUCAAGAUAUUUUGAGUUUUACGAGAAUAAUGUCAUAGAAAGGGAAUCGUGGUUAGUGACGUGGGACAAAAGAAGAAAAUGCAUGAAUGCAAGUAAAUGGAGAGAAAGAUAGAAUUGAGGGAGAUAAUCAGGAAAUGGAGAGAAUUGAGAUGUGAAAAAAAGGCCAAUUGUUCUAGAAGAAACCCUAAAAAAGGGUUAGAUGUGGAUUCAAGAUCAUCCCCUGUUCUCCUGACGGCUUCCCAAAAGUGUCCUUCCUUGAGGAUUACUAACUAUUUAAAUCAUGUCCCCAACGAGGCUUGCAACCCAUUAGGUAUAGGUUUUCCUUUUCCUCUUCAGAUAUAAGCUAGGCCAAUAGUUAGAUCUAAAAUAAUUACAUCCGUUUACUUAUCUAUUGGAGGAUGAAAUAUAGAUAAAUAUUUUAACUUAAUUAUCAUUAUGUGACAAAAAUUUUUUUAGAAAUAGUUCAUAAUUCUAACUCUCAAUUAAAGGUAAUAGUUUUUGGAAGGCAUGGAGCAUAACGAUCUCAUUGAAGUAUUUUUGUGAAAAUUUAGAUGUAACAUAGGUUUUGAAGCAAAAAAUAUGAUAGAUCCUCUUAGAGAAUCUAUUAAUAACAACAAUAAAAAUAGAGUCAUAUUUCUUUAGAAUUUUGAGUCACCCUAUCACAAAAUUCAUGUUGACAUCUUCUCAUGGAUGUUUGUGACAAGAUGUUCUACUAAUGUGAAAAUUCAAUACUAUAAAACAAGUUUAGCUACAUCUUUUUUUAAAAUUGGAGAUUAAUUUUACUAGUGUGUAUUUUUAGAUGUAACAUAGAUUUUAUAUCUUUGGGUCUUUUUUACUCUAAUAAAGUAUAUUUUAUAUAUAAGAAAAAUCUCACAAAUAAGAUUAAAGAAUAUAUAAGAAAUAUUAUAUGAAAAGAUAUCUAUGUGUUUGCUUGAUAAAUCUCCUUGGAGUGCAAUAAUGAUUUUUGCAAAAUGUAGACACCUAUCGUAAGCUUCAUUCAUCUUUCAAAGCCUCCUUUAGAAACUAAGAUAGAAGCGUGUAAAUUAUCAACUUAAGGCAUCAUAUUCUCACAUUCUAGCUUAUGUUUGAACACAAAAUUGUAUUCUUGAAUAUAUUCAACCCAAUCAUCAUGUCUAAAAUUAAGUUUUUUUAUAAAUUAAGAAAACGAAGGUCUUUUGGUUUGAAUAAAAGAUAAAUUAUUGUGGAAGCAAAUAAAUUAUUGAAGGACUUAAAUGACUGCAUAUAAUUAUUUGUCAUAGGUGGAAUGCUUAAGCUUAGAAAUAUUUAAUUUAUCAUUGAAAUAUGUGAUGGGGUGUCCUUCUUGGUUCAACACUUCAGCUAUGUAAAUAUUAGAUGCAUUGCAUACUAAUUAAUUUUUUUUAAAAAAAUUAAAUAAUUUUAGAACAAGUGAUCAAGUCAAAAUUUUUCUUAGUAAGACUAGAGCAAUACAUCCUCGUGACAAAUCCCCAAAAUCAUAGAAGAAAAGAACAAAAUCUCACUCAAAAUAUAUUGAUUUGAAAUGUAAACUUCAUGGUUUUUUAUAAACUUUAUAGUUCUAAAAACAAAGACAAAACAACCAUAAAUUAGUAGUAGAUAAAAUUGUCUAAAUCUGAAUGAUUACUAUGCCACGAGUGACGGUUGAAUUCUAAAUUUACCUCUGAGUGGCCAAGUUGCAACAUCUAAUCUUAUAGGUUGUGAGGAGGUUGCUUGAUGCCCAUUGUAUUUCUAAUAAUUUGAGGGUGAUAAGCUUUAAAUCUUGGUUACAUGACAUCUAGAAUUUUGCAAAAAAAGGUGGAGUAUAAAAGAGGAUCUAGACUUGAGUUUGUAGGCGAUUAAGAGAAUUCUAAGCUCACUAAAAAAAAAA